GAUGAAGAACGUAGCGAAAUGCGAUAAGUAGUGUGAAUUGCAGAAUUCAGUGAAUCAUCAAAUCUUUGAACGCACAUUGCGCCCCUUGGUAUCCCGAGGGGCAUGCCUGUUCGAGCGUCAUUUCACCACUCAAGCCUGGCUUGGUGUUGGGCGACGUCCCCUUUGGGGACGCGCCUCGAAACGCUCGGCGGCGUGGCACCGGCUUUAAGCGUAGCAGAAUCUUUCGCUUUGGAAGUCGGGGCCCCGUCUGCCGGAAGACCUACUCGCAAGGUUGACCUCGGAUCAGGCAGGGAUACCCGCUGAACUUAAGCAUAUCAAUAAGCGGAGGA
RNAcentral lists this unclassified non-coding RNA (329 nucleotides) under soil metagenome. RNAcentral describes it as "partial contains 5.8S ribosomal RNA, internal transcribed spacer 2, and large subunit ribosomal RNA". The stretch from base 1 to 120 matches the Rfam family "5.8S ribosomal RNA", at positions 35 to 154 of the family's 154-position model. The record is from RNAcentral.